UACGAAGGGGGCUAGCGUUGUUCGGAAUUACUGGGCGUAAAGGGCGCGUAGGCGGUGUGUCAAGUCAGGCGUGAAAGCCCCGGGCUCAACCUGGGAACAGCGCUUGAGACUGGCACGCUCGAGUUCGGGAGAGGAUGGUGGAAUUCCCAGUGUAGAGGUGGAAUUCGUAGAUAUUGGGAAGAACACCGAUGGCGAAGGCAGCCAUCUGGACCGACACUGACGCUGAGGCGCGAAAGCGUGGGGAGCAAACAGG
RNAcentral lists this ribosomal RNA (253 nucleotides) under uncultured bacterium. RNAcentral's name for it is "partial 16S ribosomal RNA". It matches the Rfam family "Bacterial small subunit ribosomal RNA", at positions 524 to 776 of the family's 1533-position model. The record is from RNAcentral.